AUUGAACGCUGGCGGCAGGCCUAACACAUGCAAGUCGAGCGGAUGAAGGGAGCUUGCUCCUGGAUUCAGCGGCGGACGGGUGAGUAAUGCCUAGGAAUCUGCCUGGUAGUGGGGGAUAACGUCCGGAAACGGGCGCUAAUACCGCAUACGUCCUGAGGGAGAAAGUGGGGGAUCUUCGGACCUCACGCUAUCAGAUGAGCCUAGGUCGGAUUAGCUAGUUGGUGGGGUAAAGGCCUACCAAGGCGACGAUCCGUAACUGGUCUGAGAGGAUGAUCAGUCACACUGGAACUGAGACAGGGUCCAGACUCCUACGGGAGGCAGCAGUGGGGAAUAUUGGACAAUGGGCGAAAGCCUGAUCCAGCCAUGCCGCGUGUGUGAAGAAGGUCUUCGGAUUGUAAAGCACUUUAAGUUGGGAGGAAGGGCAGUAAGUUAAUACCUUGCUGUUUUGACGGUACCAACAGAAUAAGCACCGGCUAACUUCGUG
Molecule: ribosomal RNA, 484 nt
Filed under: uncultured bacterium
Lineage: Bacteria
Description: partial 16S ribosomal RNA
Rfam family: Bacterial small subunit ribosomal RNA
Source: RNAcentral